GAUGAACGCUGGCGGCGUGCCUAAUACAUGCAAGUCGAGCGAACAGAUGAGGAGCUUGCUCCUCUGACGUUAGCGGCGGACGGGUGAGUAACACGUGGAUAACCUACCUAUAAGACUGGGAUAACUUCGGGAAACCGGAGCUAAUACCGGAUAAUAUAUUGAACCGCAUGGUUCAAUAGUGAAAGACGGUUUUGCUGUCACUUAUAGAUGGAUCCGCGCCGCAUUAGCUAGUUGGUAAGGUAACGGCUUACCAAGGCAACGAUGCGUAGCCGACCUGAGAGGGUGAACGGCCACACUGGAACUGAGACACGGUCCAGACUCCUACGGGGGGCAGCAGUAGGGAAUCUUCCGCAAUGGGCGAAAGCCUGACGGAGCAACGCCGCGUGAGUGAUGAAGGUCUUCGGAUCGUAAAACUCUGUUAUUAGGGAAGAACAAAUGUGUAAGUAACUAUGCACGUCUUGACGGUACCUAAUCAGAAAGCCACGGCUAACUACGUG
RNAcentral lists this ribosomal RNA (497 nucleotides) under uncultured bacterium. RNAcentral describes it as "partial 16S ribosomal RNA". It matches the Rfam family "Bacterial small subunit ribosomal RNA", at positions 28 to 507 of the family's 1533-position model. The record is from RNAcentral.